UCCGUAGUCGAAAGGGAAACAGCCCAGACCACCAGCUAAGGUCCCAAAAUAUAUGUUAAGUGGAAAAGGAUGUGGGGUUGCACAGACAACUAGGAUGUUAGCUUAGAAGCAGCUAUUCAUUCAAAGAGUGCGUAAUAGCUCACUAGUCGAGUGACCCUGCGCCGAAAAUGUACCGGGGCUAAAACAUAUUACCGAAGCUGUGGAUACCUUUAUAGGUAUGGUAGGAGAGCGUUCUAUGUGCGAAGAAGGUGUACCGUGAGGAGUGCUGGAGCGCAUAGAAGUGAGAAUGCCGGUAUGAGUAGCGAAAGACAGGUGAGAAUCCUGUCCACCGUAAGACUAAGGUUUCCAGGGGAAGGCUCGUCCGCCCUGGGUUAGUCGGGACCUAAGGAGAGACCGAAAGGUGUAUCCGAUGGCCAACAGGUUGAUAUUCCUGUACUAGAGUAUAUAGUGAUGGAGGGACGCAGUAGGCUAACUAAACCAGACGAAUGGAAGAGUCUGGCCAAGCAGUGAGGUGUGAUAUGAGUCAAAUGCUUAUAUCUCUAACAUUGAGCUGUGAUGGGGAGCGAAGUUUAGUAGCGAAGUUAGUGAUGUCACACUGCCAAGAAAAGCUUCUAGCGUUAAUUAUACUCUACCCGUACCGCAAACCGACACAGGUAGUCGAGGCGAGUAGCCUCAGGUGAGCGAGAGAACUCUCGUUAAGGAACUCGGCAAAAUGGCCCCGUAACUUCGGGAGAAGGGGCGCUGACUGAUAGUCAGCCGCAGUGAAUAGGCCCAAGCAACUGUUUAUCAAAAACACAGCUCUCUGCUAAAUCGUAAGAUGAUGUAUAGGGGGUGACGCCUGCCCGGUGCUGGAAGGUUAAGAGGAGUGCUUAGCGUAAGCGAAGGUAUGAAUUGAAGCCCCAGUAAACGGCGGCCGUAACUAUAACGGUCCUAAGGUAGCGAAAUUCCUUGUCGGGUAAGUUCCGACCCGCACGAAAGGCGUAAUGAUUUGGGCACUGUCUCAACGAGAGACUCGGUGAAAUUUUAGUACCUGUGAAGAUGCAGGUUACCCGCGACAGGACGGAAAGACCCCAUGGAGCUUUAC
Molecule: ribosomal RNA, 1084 nt
Filed under: Thomasclavelia ramosa
Lineage: Bacteria; Bacillati; Bacillota; Erysipelotrichia; Erysipelotrichales; Coprobacillaceae
Description: partial 23S ribosomal RNA
Rfam family: Bacterial large subunit ribosomal RNA
Source: RNAcentral